RNA transcript from Ochlerotatus camptorhynchus, 2354 nucleotides. RefSeq lists it as uncharacterized. The record is from RefSeq and is a predicted model, not a curated record. NCBI's taxonomy places the organism in Eukaryota, Metazoa, Arthropoda, Insecta, Diptera, Culicidae. The transcript is spliced from 5 exons.
GUUUUUUGCCUCUGACUUGGUGAACAAAUUUUAAAUUUUUCAUAGUUUCUUUGAUUUCAGAGGAAAAAUCCGGAGGAAUAGCGAAUAGGUAAACAAAGAAUGGAUCCUAUCAUCGACUGGCAAAUAUCGCGCCACGACAUCAAAUCCCGGGGUCAGUAUCUGCUCGAAACCGGUAAAUGGGCCGAUUGUCACUUUCUGGUCGGUCAGGAACCAAAUCAUCAGAUGCUAGCGGGACAUAAGCUUAUCCUGGCGAUGGCUUCUCCUGUGUUUGAAGCCAUGUUUUACGGAGGUCUUGCCGAGAAGAACGACCCGAUACCGAUUUUGGACAUUGACCCUUCGGCAUUCAAAUCAUUGUUGGAGUAUAUAUACACAGACAAAAUAAACAUCAAUUCGGUGGACAGAGCCUGCGAGCUGUGUUAUGGAGCAAAGAAGUACAUGCUUCCCCAUGUCGUCGAGCAAUGCAUUACGUUCCUGUGGUCGGAUCUCUGCCCUAAGAACGUAUGCCGGGCAUAUGAAUUUGCCAAAUUAUUUGAAGAGCCCCGUCUGAUGGAGAAAUGUCUGCAAAUAAUGUGUACUAAAACGAUAGAUGUAGUCCAGGAUUCAAGUUUCGAGGAUGUCGAACUCAGUACGAUUAUCACGAUCCUUGAUCAGGAUGUACUAAACAUUGAUUCCGAACUUAAUCUGUUUUGGGCUAUAAACAAAUAUGCAGAAAAACACGGAUUAUGUUCAAGCCGCCAUCCUGAAUCAAACCAAUCCAACAAUGACCAGGACCAGAUCGGUUCACCACAAUCGCCUCCAACCGUAGAUGUCGAAGCUGGUCCAUCAAAUGUCCAACCUGGUGGCAAUCAAAAUAUUCCUAUGGGAAACAACGAACAGCAAGCGGCUCCAAUUCCACUGGUAAAUACUGGACGCCAGCAAGAGCUGCCCACGAUUCGGGAUGCCAUUCGUCGGAUUCGAUUCUUAUCGCUCAACCCUCAGCAAUUUGCGGAAGGUCCUGCUCGGACCAAUCUUUUGACGCAGUCGGAAGCGUUCGCCAUCUUGAUGAAUAUCUCAACGGCGAACAGUUGUUAUCCGAUGCCAGAAGGUUUUACAACUAAUAAGAAUCCAAGAAAUGCAUUUUCUGAUUCAUCACCUGCUAGCCCCAUAGCCGGUCCGAGUAGUAAUGUUCCUCCGCUUGGUCAUCAGCCUGGUGCGUCCGCUGGGCCAAGCGGAUUGUUUCCACAACAUGUCCCACCGCCACAACCGGCACCAGUACCGUCACAAACCGUUCCAGCCCCAGCUCCGGCUCCUGUCCCUCCAGCGCAUCCAGAAAACCCGGAAAGCCCAUUUUAUCCGGAUUAUCUAGAUGAGAUCCGCAACAAUGACUCGAAUUAUGAUCGUAAAUAUUACUGCCGCCGUAUCAUGCGCCAGCAAACCGAAUGCCUCAAUACAUCGGUGCUCGAUUGCUCUUUGACCUUCAUCGUGGAUCGCUCCGUGUGCAUCACAGGAAUUGAGGUCCCGACGCAAGUUCAAGGUUCGUCUAUUGUUGGAAAUGACCGCUACUCGGAGCUGCUCUAUGCUCAUCUCCUUGAUGCUCACGGAUCACGUUUGACCUACACACAUUGCAACCAACGAGUCCAGUACAAUUCUAUGCUGGAGAUCUCAUUCGAUAGACCUGUCUUCAUACAGCGGCACAAGAUGUACAAAAUUGGAGUUGUAUUCAACAAGGUGGGAUGGUAUCCCGUUAGCCAGUCCGUGGCAAAGGUCAAUUGUGACAACGUUUGCUUCACGUUCUGUGUUGGAUCGCAGUCGGAAUCGGUCCGCGAUGGAUUGAUCCGAACAAUUGUAUUUACCUAUACGCGUGAUGGAAUAGCGUAUUCCUAAACCGUGGAGUACAUUUACAGUACAAAAACUGUCAAAAAAUCAGGCAACAAUGUGGAUACAUUCUGCAAUGUUACUACUACUUCAAUGUUAGAUCGACCCCAGGGCAGCAAGCACGGAUAUUACGAACAGAAUGAAGCCAUUGACGAGACGAUAUUUUAAAAUGAAUUUAGGCAGUUUAUUGUAGCUGCUACUGUCUUCGCCCAAAAUUACAAACUGGAUGAAUUUACAUUGACAAAAACAGAGAACCGUGCUUAAAUUAUUCGAAAAAUAAAAAAAUAUCUUACAAAAACGCAAAAUCGCAGAAACAUCUGGUAGGUACCAAAACUGCAGCUAAUAAUCAAACAUUAAUGAUUGUUUCCUACUUGCGAAUGUCUCCAACAAUGAAAUGAUGAGUGCAUUUUAAUCCUUAGGCAAUUGUACAACAAAUCCUGGUGAAUAUCCACAUAAAACCUACAGUGGUUUAAAUAUCUAUGUAAUCCAUAUAACUACCU